This 24-nucleotide non-coding RNA is filed under the name Arabidopsis thaliana (thale cress). The record is from RNAcentral. Lineage: Eukaryota; Viridiplantae; Streptophyta; Magnoliopsida; Brassicales; Brassicaceae.
UUGAUUUUUAGGAGCGGAACCUCU